Molecule: transfer RNA, 85 nt
Filed under: Planctomycetota bacterium
Lineage: Bacteria; Pseudomonadati; Planctomycetota
Description: Planctomycetes bacterium tRNA-Leu
Rfam family: tRNA
About the family: Transfer RNA (tRNA) molecules are approximately 80 nucleotides in length. Their secondary structure includes four short double-helical elements and three loops (D, anti-codon, and T loops).
Source: RNAcentral
GCGGAAGUGGCGGAACUGGUAGACGCGCAGGAUUUAGGUUCCUGUGCCUUCGGGCGUGGGGGUUCGAGUCCCCCCUUCCGCACCC